UCUGGGCUCCACUACCAGCCAAGCGAGGUGAACUAAGCAGGCCGACCUGAGUACCGAGUCACCGUGGUGACGUGAUCUCGCAAGCUAAGGCAGGCCAACUUGAGCAGCAAGGUGUACCGUGGUGAGACGUCUAUCCGGGGGAGGACUUCGCUGCGACUCGGCGACAAAUAGAAUUAUAAUUUAUUUUUAUUUCUUUUUUUUUUAUCUGUACAUCUAAUUACAUCGAAUAUAUUUAUUUUGUUUUAA
Molecule: long non-coding RNA, 246 nt
Organism: Diabrotica virgifera virgifera (western corn rootworm)
Lineage: Eukaryota; Metazoa; Arthropoda; Insecta; Coleoptera; Chrysomelidae
Exons: 2
Source: RefSeq, a predicted model, not a curated record